This 350-nucleotide ribosomal RNA is filed under the name uncultured bacterium. RNAcentral's name for it is "bacterial SSU rRNA". It matches the Rfam family "Bacterial small subunit ribosomal RNA", at positions 28 to 389 of the family's 1533-position model. The record is from RNAcentral.
GAUUAACGCUGGCGGCGUGCCUAACACAUGCAAGUCGAACGAGGUAGCAAUACCUAGUGGCAGACGGGUGAGUAACGCGUGGUCAACCUACCGUUGAGUGGGGAUAACUAGCCGAAGGUUAGCUAAUACCGCAUACGUCUCCGAGGGGCGAUCCCUUGGCGAUAAAAGGAGCAAUCCGCUCGAUGACGGGACCGCGUCCCAUUAGCUAGAUGGUGGGGUGACGGCCUACCAUGGCACCGAUGGGUAGCUGGUUUGAGAGAGCGACCAGCCACACUGGGACUGAGAAACGGCCCAGACUCCUACGGGAGGCAGCAGUGAGGAAUUUUCCGCAAUGGGCGCAAGCCUGACGG